Molecule: ribosomal RNA, 301 nt
Filed under: uncultured bacterium
Lineage: Bacteria
Description: partial 16S ribosomal RNA
Rfam family: Bacterial small subunit ribosomal RNA
Source: RNAcentral
CAGCAGCCACGGGAAUACGUAGGGUGCGAGCGUUAAUCGGAAUUACUGGGCGUAAAGCGUGCGCAGGCGGUCGUGUAAGACAGGUGUGAAAUCCCCGGGCUUAACCUGGGAACUGCGCUUGUGACUGCACAGCUAGAGUAUGGCAGAGGGGGGUGGAAUUCCACGUGUAGCAGUGAAAUGCGUAGAGAUGUGGAGGAACACCGAUGGCGAAGGCAGCCCCCUGGGCCAAUACUGACGCUCAUGCACGAAAGCGUGGGGAGCAAACAGGAUUAGAUACCCGUGUAGUCCCUGUCUCUUAUAC